This is a long non-coding RNA of Malaclemys terrapin pileata, 3168 nucleotides long. RefSeq lists it as uncharacterized. The record is from RefSeq and is a predicted model, not a curated record. NCBI's taxonomy places the organism in Eukaryota, Metazoa, Chordata, Testudines, Emydidae. The transcript is spliced from 3 exons.
AAUAUGCAGCCAUCAGCAACAGGCACAGCAGUAGGCGAGCGGGCAAGGAUGAAGGAGACAGGGCUGUACCACCUCCCCCAAACUUUACUGCCCUGGCAGGGAUCUUCUCAGUGCAGUGGCAGAACUGGUAAGGUCUUUCCCCCGCUUUGGUGACGCCUGUGUCUCCCUGACCAUCGCUCUGAGAGCAAAAGGGGGACACACACGCUGCUCCCUCGGGAGCGAGGAGGCUGGGUGUAAGCGCAGAUCCCUGUGCUUCGUGCACUGGGGGGGCGGGUUGCAAAGGCGGCAGAGCCCGGCGGCCCCCGGGAACACGCUGCAGUUCCGUUUGCUAAGCGUAGAGGGGGCACGAGGCGAAGGGGAUCAGGGCCACCGGCCGAUCGGAUUCGUGCGGUCCCUCGGCAGAGACAAAGGCAGGGGACAGCGCGGCGGCACCCCCCGGGGCUGGCCUCAGGCAUGGUUCCGUGGCCUGGCCACUUGUGUCUGCUCCUGGAUCAUCCUCACGGGGUUCUUGCAUCAGAAGGGGCAAUACACCUGGAUAGUCCCUGAAAGGGUUGGAGUCUUUUCAGCAUUUGUGUACAUGUUUACAGCAAAAGAUUUCAAGUGUAGAUAAGCUGCUUAUUUACAGCAAAAUAUUUCAAGUGUGGCUAGGCUACAUACUGACCAGCUAGAUCACUAUGAAGAGGAGACGGCGAAAACAACUGAGUGAAGCAGCAGCUAAGAGCUCAAAGCCAAUAACUUCAUUUCUCAAACCACUAGAAAACAUACCUUCCCCAACAAACAAUGCUACAGAUAAUGAAAACGCCGCAACUGCAACAGGUGAUUUUUCAAUGCCGAUACCUGAACAUGAGGACAGUAGUCAAGAAGAUGUGCCAAUAGUAACAGAUGCAACAGAAGAUCCAGUGUAUGGUCAAGAAACUCAACAGCAACAGGAAGAUGUAGAUCUUACGCAGCAAGAGCAAUUCAUGAGUACUACAGGUGUGACUGUGACUGACAUUGGAAUUAUUGACAAGACCAAUGCUGCCCAAAUACAAUCUUUUCUUCAAAUUAGUUGUUUUGAAAUUCCAAGUAACAUUCCACAAGAUGCUGAUAAUCAUGCUUUACCUACUCGUCUGCUGACAAAAACUCUUCCAAAUGGUGAGACCUGCACAAGAGACUGGUUAUGUUGGAGUACAGAACAACAAUCUCUGUACUGUGCAUCCUGCUUCGUUUUGAACAAAAGUGCUGCAAAUGCAUCAGUUCUCUCUGAUCAAUCAGGAUGGAGCAUCAACAGAGGUUGGAGGAAGUUGAAAGACCAAAUACCUUCACAUGAGAGUUCAACGUCACACAAAGAAAACUAUGUUGCAUAGAAAUCAGCCAGUAGGGCAGCAUUAGCUGAAAGUUCAGUUGAGAAUUUACUCUUGACUGAACUCUCUACAGAAACUAAUAACUGGAAAAAACUUCUUGAGUGCAUCCUGAAUGUCAUCCUUUUUCUUCCUGAGCGGGGAUUGGCUUUCUUUGGUUCCAGUCAACAUAUUGGUGAUCGUGCAAAUGGAAACUUUCUAGGCAUAGUUGAGCUCCUCAGCAAAUAUGACCCACGUUUAUCAGAGCAUGUUAAAUGUGUUUGAGAAUCGCAAGAGAGUCAAAAGUGCAUGCAAGUCCAUUAUCUCUCUACACGCAUACAAAACGAGUUUAUUGAGUUACGUGGGUCAUUCAUACAAACAACAAUUCUUGAUGAGAUUCGAAAUGCCAAGUAUUUUUCAAUCAUUGUUGAUGCCACUCCAGAUUGUUCUCACAAGGAACAGACGGCUAUGGCUAUUCAAUAUGUUAAGAUUGUAGACAGCUCAAUAUUUUCAAUUGAGGAAAGGUUUAUUUUCUUUGAUAAUUUCAUGAGAAAAACUGGAAAAGAAAUUGCUGCUUGAGUACUAGCAAUUCUAGAAGGUUUUAAGUUAGAUUUUCAAGUCUGCAUUGGUCAAGCCUAUGACAAUGGAUCUAAUAUGGUUGGGAAGUACAAAGGUAUACAAGCAGUUCUGCUUGAGCAUAAUUCAAACUGUAUUUUCUCCAGCUGUGGAAACCACACACUAAACCUUGUAGGUGUUGACUGUGCUGAAUCAUGCGAGGAGGCAAUUACUUACUUUGGAACUGUUCAACAAAUGUACCAUCUCUUCAGUAGCAGUCCCCAAAGGUGGGGAAUUCUGAAGCAAUAUCUUCCUGUUUCACUGCAUGGGAUGUCCAAAACUAGAUGGUCUGCAUGGAUUGAUGGUAUUCAACCAGUUGCGCAGCAUUUGAAUUCAGUGAGAAAGGCUUUAAAUGAGCUUGAAUCUCUCAAUCUCACUGCACAGGCUCGAACUGAACUUCAGUCUAUUCAGAAGCACAUGUCCAAAUUUGAAUGAAUUCUGAUGUCAUCUUUGUGGAUGAAGCUACUUACAAUGAUCCACCAAACUAAUCUGGUAAUUGAAGCACACAAUGCUACACUUGAUGUUGAGAGGGAUAACAUUGAAAGUCUUAUCAAUGACAUUCAACAGAUUCGUGAACAAUGGGAUGCGAUCCUGACUGAGUCCAAAUUAGUAGCACAGAAUAUUGGAAUUUCAUCUGAGUUCUCCACCAAUUGCAACUUAUCUACUGAAUCCGAUGCCGAGCAGCAUUAUAGGGUCAGUGUCUUCCUUGUCUUCAUUGACUCUAUUCAAUCAGGUCUUACAUGUCGAUUUGAGUCACUGAGACUAAUUUGUACCCUUUUGGGGUGUCUUUGGCAGUUCAACAGACUGAGUAAUGAAGAUCUGCUUUCUGCAGCUGAACAAUUUCAGCAACAGUACAACAAAGAAAUCUCAAAAGAUCUCAGUGACGAGGUCAUCUUCCUCAAACGAAUAUAUUUGACGAACUUUAAAUUGGAUUGCAAGCCAAAGGAAUUGCUUCAAGAAAUACUCAAACUUGGACUCUCUGGGGUGUUUCCUAAUAUCACAAUUGCACUGCGUAUUUUUGUCAGUUUGCCUGCAUCAGUGGCUUCAGGUGAACGCACCUUCAACGUGUUGAAGCAGGUAAAGAACUAUCACUGUUCAACAAUGGGACAACAGCGUUUGAAUGGGCUCGCCAUGCUUAAUAUCAGCUGUGACAUUGCACAAAAGCUAGAUUUUUUCCUCAAUAAUUAGUGUAUUGAUUUGCACAGAAAAAGGCUAUAAAAGCAUUUGUUAAAUA